Molecule: ribosomal RNA, 484 nt
Filed under: uncultured bacterium
Lineage: Bacteria
Description: partial 16S ribosomal RNA
Rfam family: Bacterial small subunit ribosomal RNA
Source: RNAcentral
AUUGAACGCUGGCGGCAUGCUUUACACAUGCAAGUCGAACGGCAGCGCGGGCUUCGGCCUGGCGGCGAGUGGCGAACGGGUGAGUAAUGCAUCGGAACGUGCCCAGUAGUGGGGGAUAGCCCGGCGAAAGCCGGAUUAAUACCGCAUACGACCUGAGGGGGAAAGCGGGGGACCGAAAGGCCUCGCGCGAUUGGAGCGGCCGAUGUCGGAUUAGCUAGUUGGUGGGGGAAAGGCUUACCAAGGCGACGAUCCGUAGCUGGUCUGAGAGGACGACCAGCCACACUGGGACUGAGACACGGCCCAGACUCCUACGGGAGGCAGCAGUGGGGAAUUUUGGACAAUGGGGGCAACCCUGAUCCAGCCAUGCCGCGUGCGGGAAGAAGGCCUUCGGGUUGUAAACCGCUUUUGUUCGGGAAGAAAUCCUCUGGGCUAAUACCCCGGGGGGAUGACGGUACCGGAAGAAUAAGCACCGGCUAACUACGUG